AAACAUUGCACCUAAAUCUUCAAUUUCCUAAGGAAAUAGAAGAGCUUUUUGGAUACUGGACACGCACUGACGCUACCUUUUGCAGGGAUCCUGGUCUGGCACAUCAGACUGGAUCAAGAAUUUCCUCAUGUGAAUCCCAGGAGUAUCUGCAAAAGAGUGGCGUCUCAAACCUCACAGCCCAACUCCUAGAAAAUUCACCCACCUCCCAGCCUUAAAACCCACGCCUGCCUUAGGUCCACAGCUUAUGAAAAAGUUGUCCUGGGAAAGAUGUCUCCCUCCCCUCCUCCUCCUCCAUCCUGCAGCAGGACCCAUUGUCUGCCGGCGGCAAGGCAUAAAGGAGUUAACGAA
Corvus hawaiiensis (hawaiian crow) is the source of this 348-nucleotide long non-coding RNA. RefSeq lists it as uncharacterized. NCBI's taxonomy places the organism in Eukaryota, Metazoa, Chordata, Aves, Passeriformes, Corvidae. The record is from RefSeq and is a predicted model, not a curated record. The transcript is spliced from 3 exons.